AUGGGCAGAGAUUCAGAGGAUGAAGACCCUAGAUCUGAGAGGAACGUAGAGAAUUUGGUGUGGCAAGCUAAGACAGGGAAGAGGGAUGAAGGGGGAGAGAUCGCAAGGAUGGCCUGUGAUGAUGCAGAAGGUGCUGUGCUGGAAAAAGAUAGGAGCAAAAAUCAGAUAUCUCAGCCAGAUCAGCAGCAGCAGCAAUUGCUCUUGACUUUGCUGCUUUCUCAGCUGGUGCAAGGGAUGAAAAGCAGUGAGAAGAACCAGAUGGAGGGCCUGGUUGGAAAUCAAAUUGGAAAUUUGCUUGGGAAAGAGAGUCAAAGGAAAGAGGAGGGAGGAACUGUUGGACAACAAAGGGUUGACAAGGUGGCUGAACAUGGAUCUGGACUGGGAAUGAAGAAGCAGGGGGUAGAAGUAGUUGGCAGCAAGGUUAUGAGGAAAACAAGAAAAACUUUGAUAGGUUUAGCAAACAGGUUUGUGGUAAGUGUAAAGAUCCUAGACACACCACUAAGGACUACAGGGUGGGGCAUUGCUUGA
Molecule: ribosomal RNA, 528 nt
Filed under: Triticum aestivum (bread wheat)
Lineage: Eukaryota; Viridiplantae; Streptophyta; Magnoliopsida; Poales; Poaceae
Description: partial small subunit ribosomal RNA
Source: RNAcentral